GGGGGUGUAGCUCAGGGGUAGAGUAUUGCCUAGCAUGCAGAGGCCCUGGGUUCAAUCCCCAACAGUCCUC
Ictidomys tridecemlineatus (thirteen-lined ground squirrel) is the source of this 70-nucleotide non-coding RNA. Lineage: Eukaryota; Metazoa; Chordata; Mammalia; Rodentia; Sciuridae. The record is from Rfam.